GCCGCCACUUCCCUUUUAUUCCCUUCUUUUGUGCGACAAAAUAAGGAUUCUUCACCAUGAAAAAUCAGUUGGAGACCUUAUUUACCAUGAAAAAAUAUGGGAAGGGGUGUGCCAUAUUUAUUUGGGGCAUAUUUUGGCAUUAAUUGAUGAGAGGGGCGACACAUCUUGAUGGAGUCCAAGAUCCUUUGGACUCUUCACCCCACCUCUUACACACCAAAAUAAAAGGUUUUUAUUUUUUGUUUUGUAUGUGUAAUAGAGAAGA
Molecule: long non-coding RNA, 262 nt
Filed under: Elaeis guineensis (African oil palm)
Lineage: Eukaryota; Viridiplantae; Streptophyta; Magnoliopsida; Arecales; Arecaceae
Description: long non-coding RNA (EGUI_LNC025843)
Source: RNAcentral